RNAcentral lists this ribosomal RNA (247 nucleotides) under uncultured bacterium. RNAcentral's name for it is "partial 16S ribosomal RNA". It matches the Rfam family "Bacterial small subunit ribosomal RNA", at positions 89 to 334 of the family's 1533-position model. The record is from RNAcentral.
CGGCGAGUGGCGAACGGGUGAGUAAUAUAUCGGAACGUCGCCCAUUAGGUGGGGGAUACGCCCGGACGAAAGCCGGAUUAAUACCGCAUACGACCUGAGGGUAGAAAGCGGGGGAUCGCAAGACCUCGCGCUAUUGGAGCGGCCGAUAUCAGAUUAGCUAGUUGGUGGGGUAAAAGCCUACCAAGGCAACGAUCUGUAGUUGGUCUGAGAGGACGACCAGCCACACUGGGACUGAGACACGGCCCAG